This is a long non-coding RNA of Triticum dicoccoides, 843 nucleotides long. RefSeq lists it as uncharacterized. The record is from RefSeq and is a predicted model, not a curated record. Lineage: Eukaryota; Viridiplantae; Streptophyta; Magnoliopsida; Poales; Poaceae. The transcript has 3 exons.
UACUAUUCAUUAUUUCACACAGUGACAAAUGUUCAUCUUUCCCGAUCCCCUUUCUCCUUAUUCUCUAAGCUCACCAAAUGUUCAUCUUUCCUGAUCUCCUUUGUACAAGAUUCGUUCCACCCGAGCGCUGCGGAUUUAAUUCCCAACACCACCUCAGUUUCUCCUCUUGAUUCCUUGCCGCGACCUUGCUCGUACACACCUGCACGCACCUCUGCAGCUCGGCUGACUGUCGCGGCGACGGGGUGGCCAUCUCGUGCGCCUGAUUUGGCUCCCUGUACGCCUCCUCGAUCUGCCAAGUCGGUCGACGGCGAUGUAGGGUUAGCAGGGCUCGAUGAGAAGCUACACAAUGGAGAAGGCUAGCUUGUCGAUCUUGACAGUGCCGCUGCCGUCGACGUCCUUGGUGGCGACGUGGGCGUGGAUCUCGUCUCCCAUAUCCUGCUCGAAUCCACCUCGAUUGUGAGGAUGCUGGUGGUGUUGUAUUCCAUCGCAUCGUGGACGUCCCGGAGCGAGGCGCCCGGGCAGGUCAUCUUCAUCCUCGACAGUGGAAGCCUGACUUCGGCGGCUCAUUCUUCACCUGCAGGUUCAUAGGUGCAUAACUGCACUGUGCAUGGUUCGUCUUUACCUUCAGAUGGUACUUACUUGAGACUCGCUCGAUGGACCGAUGGCACAAUUGAGGAUAUUCGGGCACUUGCUUGUGAGAGUUAUUUUUCUUCUUUGCUAGAAAGCCAUCAUUGCCGUGUAUAUUUAUUUGGAGUAAUAGCUACAUCAUCUGCAAAAAUGACAAGUAAAAAGCUGGAGGGUUGCAUGCGAUGGGUACAAAUCUAAUCUAUCAUGGGUUUUGUU